This is a long non-coding RNA of Ictalurus punctatus (channel catfish), 1100 nucleotides long. RefSeq lists it as uncharacterized. The record is from RefSeq and is a predicted model, not a curated record. Lineage: Eukaryota; Metazoa; Chordata; Actinopteri; Siluriformes; Ictaluridae. The transcript is spliced from 5 exons.
GACACAAUGCAGUUUGUGGGCGUGUAAAAAUAAAACACAAAUAAUGCACACCGAAUGUAGAAAUGUACAGACAAAUGCAUUUACACAGAAAUAUCACAUAAUAUAUAAACACAAUUUAAGAACUGUAGUUCUACAAUGCCGCAAAUACAGGAAGUGAAUGAACUGAAACUCCGUGUUUUGGGGUCUGGAUAAGAAGUUGUCUCAGAGGAAACACUUCCCCUCAGUGAACUGGUUGGUUAGUUACAGUAAAUACAAGUGGGCGCUGGACGAGUAUUACGAUAAACGCUUCCCCGAGUUCAUCCCGCUGCGCACUAAAGCUAUAGAGGUCCUGCAGGAGGAGGAGGACCUCUGAGAUCGGCCAGUUCAACGGAAAGGGGUCUCUGGCAGAAACGGACAAAAUCACACUAGAAGUGGACAAACUCAUCAAAGACAACUUCCUGCAGCAGAAUGAGCACUGUCCGUUCUAUAAGACAGUAGGAAUUCUGUCUAACAUGAUGGCGUGUUAUGAGCUGGCGCGUCACGCGGUGGAGACGACGGUUCAGAGCAAAAACAGAGUCACGUGGGCGAUGAUCCGAGGGCACUCGGGGGAAAUUCUGUACCGGAUCAAAGCCAUGAAGUUCAAGGACCCAGUAAAGGAAGGAGAGAGGACGAUUAAAGCUGAUUACACUCAGUUCCUGGAGGACACGCAGAACACCUUCCGCACCCUGGAGGAGUAGAGCGUGAUGUUUGUGACCUUCAACCUCCACUGUGCUGUGCAGAGACUGUCCUCUGUGUGUAGCAAUAAUUGUACUGUACCAUUUCUGUUUUGUGUGUGUAUGAAACACAGAAGGGAGGGGCACUCUUUAAACCACGCCCCUUUUCUAUUCCAUGAGCAAUAGCCGUUAAUGGGUCAGUGGGACUGCUUUUUAUUUAUUUAUUUAUUUAUUUACAGUACAGAACUCAGUGUGCUGUAGUGUUUAUUAAUGUGUUUAUAUAAAUAUUCACGUGUGUGUGUGUGUGUGUUUGUAUGUGUUUACUCUGUAUCCUCACACACUGUUAAUACACACCUACAAGGGCUUCUGGGAAGUGAAUAAGGGUGCAUUGUAGACUGCAGUGAACCA